CACACAUGAGAACACACACAUCUUCACUCUUUGUCUCUUUCUCUUAUUCUUAACCAGUUGAUAACCAUGGUUUUGAUCCCGGUUUAGCAAACCGGUUUAAUCUCGAAGUCACUUCCAAAAAAAAUUAAGAGGAGUGUAUUUGCAAACAAAAAAAGACCAAACAAAUAAGCAUAUCAUCAAUGAAAACUGUAAAAGUCACGUGGGACCCGUGGUUAUGGCUUUUAUGGUCAGGAUUUCAGGUUCAACGGUUCCACAUCUUUCACGGCAUCGGUCCCGUGACGUCCGCCUGAAAGUCCAAACUGAACCCACACGGCUCUAAGGAACGUCACUCUCCACGGUCCACGUGCACCGCUAGUAGCCAUGAUGCGUCACAACUUUCACGAGACGUCCGAUACAAAUUUCAAAAGUCUAUGUGGGUUGAAACAGUUUGCAUAUGCAAGUACUUAUGGUAAUAUGUAAUAGUCAUAAAAUAUCUACUCAUUUCUGUUUACUUGAAAAAGUGGGGUUUUCAGUUGACUUUUUUAGGUGAAAUAU
Arabidopsis thaliana (thale cress) is the source of this 534-nucleotide long non-coding RNA. RefSeq annotates it as other RNA. NCBI's taxonomy places the organism in Eukaryota, Viridiplantae, Streptophyta, Magnoliopsida, Brassicales, Brassicaceae. The transcript has a single exon. The record is from RefSeq.